This 610-nucleotide long non-coding RNA is filed under the name Phoenix dactylifera (date palm). RNAcentral's name for it is "long non-coding RNA (PDAC_LNC009761)". Lineage: Eukaryota; Viridiplantae; Streptophyta; Magnoliopsida; Arecales; Arecaceae. The record is from RNAcentral.
GGAUGGAGUCAAUUCCAAACGGGAGAGGGAGAAACGAGGAGUGCUCUGUUAGCUGGACACAGGGGAUGAGGAUGAAGUUUCGGAUGGAGAAGGAUGCGGACGCGAGAUGAACUCGAGACGUUGGGAAAACUGGACUCUAUUUUGAAGCUUAAAAUAGGGGAGGAAAGGGAUGACGUGGAAGCUUGUUCUCUAAGCACUUAAAGGGUGACGUGGACAUGGGUUCAGCUGCAAACGUGACCUGCACACAUUAGUUCAGACAUCAUCCCAAUUAGUUCGACUCGACCUGCACACAUUAAACUUGACCAAUAAAUAAAUAAGUAAAACACUAAUUAUCUUUAAUUUAUUAAAAUGCAAUGAUGAAGGUAACACAAUUUUUUUAGUUAAAUAUUCAAAAUAUGUGAAUUAAAAUAAUGAUAAGUGCUAUGAAUAAGAUAUUAAUUUAUGCAUUAUUUAGCACUUAUCACACCCCCCAACCUACAUUUUGCUAGUCCUCAAGCAAAAUAAAAAAAACUAACUCACUUUCGUAGGAAUCGCGAUUGCAUUUACCGUAUGCAAUAAGGCUUUAAACCCCUAGGUGGCCCUAGUGGACGAGUUUUGUCUCGUGCGGGUU